Molecule: ribosomal RNA, 484 nt
Filed under: uncultured bacterium
Lineage: Bacteria
Description: partial 16S ribosomal RNA
Rfam family: Bacterial small subunit ribosomal RNA
Source: RNAcentral
AUUGAACGCUGGCGGCAGGCCUAACACAUGCAAGUCGAGCGGAUGAAGGGAGCUUGCUCCUGGAUUCAGCGGCGGACGGGUGAGUAAUGCCUAGGAAUCUGCCUGGUAGUGGGGGAUAACGUCCGGAAACGGGCGCUAAUACCGCAUACGUCCUGAGGGAGAAAGUGGGGGAUCUUCGGACCUCACGCUAUCAGAUGAGCCUAGGUCGGAUUAGCUAGUUGGUGGGGUAAAGGCCUACCAAGGCGACGAUCCGUAACUGGUCUGAGAGGAUGAUCAGUCACACUGGAACUGAGACACGGUCCAGACUCCUACGGGGGGCAGCAGUGGGGAAUAUUGGACAAUGGGCGAAAGCCUGAUCCAGCCAUGCCGCGUGUGUGAAGAAGGUCUUCGGAUUGUAAAGCACUUUAAGUUAGGAGGAAGGGCAGUAAGUUAAUACCUUGCUGUUUUGACGUUACCAACAGAAUAAGCACCGGCUAACUUCGUG